Molecule: ribosomal RNA, 253 nt
Filed under: uncultured bacterium
Lineage: Bacteria
Description: partial 16S ribosomal RNA
Rfam family: Bacterial small subunit ribosomal RNA
Source: RNAcentral
UACGUAGGGUGCGAGCGUUAAUCGGAAUUACUGGGCGUAAAGCGUGCGCAGGCGGUUCGCUGUGUCCGAUGUGAAAGCCCCGGGCUCAACCUGGGAAUGGCAUGGGAAACUGGCGGGCUGGAGUGUGGCAGAGGGGGGUGGAAUUCCACGUGUAGCAGUGAAAUGCGUAGAGAUGUGGAGGAACACCGAUGGCGAAGGCAGCCCCCUGGGCUAACACUGACGCUCAUGCACGAAAGCGUGGGGAGCAAACAGG